Long non-coding RNA from Equus asinus (donkey), 3751 nucleotides. Lineage: Eukaryota; Metazoa; Chordata; Mammalia; Perissodactyla; Equidae. The record is from Ensembl.
AUCUGAAGGUGGCAAUUCAGAGCUGGCAUGGCAAUUCCAUGUUCAUCAGGGACCCAGAAUUCUUCAUAUUUCUGCUCCUGCAUUUCCUACACUUGGUUCGCUUUCUCAAAGUCACCUCAUAGUUCAAACUGCUGCUGGAUAUCCAGUCAUUACAGCCAUUUUCCAGGAUGAUUAACCCUGAGCUAACAUCUACUGCCCAUCCUCCUUUCUUUGCUGAGGAAGACGGGCCGGGAGCUAACAUCUGUGCCCAUCUUCCUCUAUUUUAUAUGUGGGAUGCCUGCCACAGCAUGGCUUGACAAGUGGUGCAUAGGUCCACACCCAGGAUCCGAACAGGUAAAAUCUGGGCUGCAGAAGUGGAAUGUGAGAACUUAACUGCUGUGCCACUUGGCUGGCCCCUAAAGGUAAUUUUCCUGAAGUGUUUUAUGUUAUUGCUUGCAUGAUUAUGCUUUUGUUGUAGUUGUAUACUACUCCAUUGUGUGGGUAUAGCACAUUUUAUUUAUGUAUUCACUUAUGAGCAUUUUUCCUGCUUCCAGUUCUUGGCUGUUAUGAAUAAAGCUGCUAUGAUCAUUCAGGCAUAAUUUAUAUAGAUAUCCUUUUUCCUGUUUCUUGCAUAAAUACUUAGGAGUGGGAUUGCUGGGAAAAAUGGUAGGUGUAUGUUUAACAUUAUAAGAUGAUGCCACAAUGUUUUCUAAAGUGGUUGUGACAUUUUGGAAUUCCCGUAUUCCAGUUGUUCCACAUCCUUGCCUAUGCUUGAUAUUAUAGGUCUUUCAGAUUUUAGCCAUUCUAGUGGUUCUAAUGGGUAUGAGGUAAUAUCUCAUUGUGAUUUUCAUACACAUUUCUGUGAUGGCUAACGCUGUUGAGCAGGUUUUCAUGUGGAUGUAAGCCAAUUAUAUAUCUUUUGUGAAAUGUCAUCCAUGUCUUUGCUAUAUUUUUGUAGAGUUGUUUGUCUUCUAAUUGUUGACUUGAAAGAAUUUUGGCUAUUUUAGAGAGUUGCAUUCAUAUAAAGUUUAGUCACUUUGUCACUUGUUAUAAAAGCUUGCUAGAAUUAUAAUAGGGAUGGAAUUGGCUUUAUAGGUCAACUUGGGGAAUCUGGACUUUUAGCAAUAGUGAGUUUUUCCAUUAAUAGCUAUGACAGAACUCUCCAUUUAUUUAGGUCUCAUUUUUUCUCGGCUAUGUCUGUAGUGUUUAGUUUAGAGGUCCUGCAUAUAUUGUUAAAUUUAUUUUCAAUUAUUUUCUUUUUAAUACUGUUUUAGAUAGUAUUUUUAUUUCUUUCUCCAGUUACUUGUUACUACUAUAUAUAGAAAUACAAUCCUUUUAUUUUAUAUUAGCCAUAUGUCCUGUGGCCUUGAUAAACUUACCUAUUAAUCUUAGUAGAUUUUUUUUGGUAGAUUCCUUAGAAUACACACACACACACACACACACACACAGAUUUUUUUCAAUAUAUAUUCUUUUAUAUAUGUCUUUUACUUAUUUUUCUUUAAUACACUUGCUAGGAUCUCUAGUAACAUGUGGAAAAGAUACAGUGAAAAUUUACAUUCUUGCCUUGUUCCCAAUCAUAGAGGGAAAGUAUUUAGUUUUUCACCAUUAUAUAUGAUACCAGCUACAAGUUUUCAUAGAUACCUUUAUCAGGUUGAGAAAGUUUUAUUGUAUUCCUAAUUUUCUGAGUUUUUUGUCAUGAAUGGGUGUUGACUUUGAUCAAUUUUCACCUUUAUUUUCUUUAUAUCUGCCUUCCUUAUAUAAAGCCUACAUGAUCUUAAAAUAGGACGCUUUUUAUAUUUUGCUGAAUUGGAUUUGCUUAUAUUUUUUUAAGGAGUCAUGCACUUAUUGGUCUAUGAUUUUUCCUCUCUAAUAAUGUCCUUGCCAGUUUUCUCUAUCAGAACCUCAUAGAAUGGGAAAACAUCAUUAUUCCUCUGCAUUUUAAGGGAGUUUGUGAAAGAUUGGUGUUACUUCUUCCUUAAAUAUUUGGGAUUCAUCAAAGAGACUAUGUAAGUCUGUGCUUUCCUUCAAGGGAAGAUUUUGAUUAUGAAUUCAAUUUAUUUACUAUGUUAUAUAUAUUAACUGUAUCAAUAAUAUGACUAUUCAGAUUUUCUAUUUCUAUUCAGUUCAAUUUUGAUAGCAUUUUCUAGGAAUUUAUUAAUUUAUCAAAUUUGGCAUCCAUUUAUUCAUAAAAUUCCCAUAUUAUUCUCUUAAUAUCUGUAGUUUCUGGAGUAAUAAACUCACUUUUAUCCCUAAUAUUUUGAAUUUGUGUUUUUCUCUCUAUAUUUUUAACUUGAUUGGCCUUGUAAGUUGAAUAGUGUCCCCCCAAAAUUCAUGUCUACCUAGAACUUCUGAAUGUGACGCUAUUUGGAAUAAGCAUCUUUGAAGAUGUAAGUAAGGCAAGGAUCUCAAGACAAGAUCAUCCUGGAUUGGGGUGGGCUGUAAAUCCAAUGUUAGUGACCCAGCAAAAGAAAGAAAAGGAGAAGACAGACACAGAGGAAAAAGCCAUGUGAAGUUGGAGGCAGAGAUUGGAGAGCAGCAACCAGGCAAGGAAUACCGAAAAUUGCCAGCAGCCACCAGAAACAAGGAGGCAUGGAAUAAUUCUCCCUCAGAGAAUUCAGAAAGAACCAAAUCUAUUGACACCUAGAUUUUGAACUUUUGGCCUCUAGAAUUGUGAGAGAAAUUUAUGUUGUGUUAAACUGCCCAGUUUGUGGUAAUUUAUUAUGGUAGCCCUAGGAAAUUAAUAUCCUUGCAAGGUGUUAAUUUUACUAAUCACUUUAGAGCACCAAUAGUUGCUUUUAUUAAUUUUCUUUAAUGUUUAUUUUCUAUUUAAUUUCUGCUCUGACGUUUAUUUUUUCCCAACUUAUUUUGGGCUUAAUUUUUCUAGUAUUUUUUUUUUUUUUUGAGGAAGAUUAGCCCUGAGCUAACAUCUGCUGCCAAUCCUCCUCUUUUUGCAGAAGAAGAUUGGCCCUGAGCUAACAUCCAUGUCCAUCUGCCUCUACUUUAUCUGUAGGACGCCUGCCACAGCGUGGCUUGAUAAGCAGUGUGUAGGCCCACAUUUGGGAUCCAAACCGGCGAACCCAGGGCCACUGAAGCAGAAUGUGCAAACUUAACAACUACACCACCGAGCCAGCCCCAAAUUUUUCCAGUUUUUUAAGGUGGAAACUUAGAUCAUUAUUUACAAACCUUUCAUCUUUUCUACUAUAACCAUUUAAAACUAUAAAUUUCCCUCUAAACACUGCAUUCCACAUAUUUUGGCACGUUUUUAUUAUUAUUUUGAAAUUUAUUGUAACUUCUCUUGUUACUUUUUGAAUCAUAGGUUAUACAGAAGUGAGGCAUUUAAUUUAAAAAUAUUUAGGGGGUUUCUAUAUAUGUUACAGUAAUUUCUAAUUCAAUUCCAUUUAGGUCAGAUAACAAAUAUUAUAUAUAGUUUUCAUCUUUUGAAGUUUCAGACAUUUUAUGACUUGUAUGGUUUGUCUUGAACAUUCCAAGUGCAAUUGAAAAAUACGUUUAAUCUAUAUUCGUUUUAGACGUAGUGUUGAAUAAACUCAAUUAGGUUGAUAAUGCUGUUCCAAUUUUCUUUAAUCAAUAGUAUCUCUAACUCUGAUUGUAGAUUUAUAUAUUUCUCCUUUUAGGUCAGCUAGAUUUUCAUGAAUUUUAAGGAUGUUGUUAUCUUUUCCUGCUUAUCUAAUUUAUCGUUAUGAAAUGAACCUCUUAAUCCUUGAUAAUGUUUCUUAUUCCAUGGUCUACCUUUUUGGUAUUAAUAUAGCCACAG